AUGACUUUGAUCUCCGUCCUCAUCUGGACUCUCCUCUGCUGCUGCUUCACAGAGUCCAGAGGCCAGAUCACAGUGACUCAGCCUGCAGCAGUGAGAUCUACUCUGGGAGGAUCUGCAACCAUCAGCUGUAGAGUCAGUCAGAAUGUUUAUAGUGGGAACUGGUUACACUGGUACCAACAGAGAGAUGGAGAAACUCCUAAACUGCUCAUUAAGUAUGUCAAUCAGCGGAUAUCAGGGAUUCCAGGUCGUUUUACAGGCAGUGGAUUAAACUCUGACUUCACUCUGACAAUCAGUGGAGUUCAGGCUGAAGAUGCAGCAGUGUAUUACUGUCAGAGUUAUCACACGCCAUAUGUGUUCACACAGUGA
Molecule: non-coding RNA, 366 nt
Organism: Scomber scombrus (Atlantic mackerel)
Lineage: Eukaryota; Metazoa; Chordata; Actinopteri; Scombriformes; Scombridae
Source: the annotation of a RefSeq genome assembly